AUUGAACGCUGGCGGCAGGCCUAACACAUGCAAGUCGAGCGGAUGAAGGGAGCUUGCUCCUGGAUUCAGCGGCGGACGGGUGAGUAAUGCCUAGGAAUCUGCCUGGUAGUGGGGGAUAACGUCCGGAAACGGGCGCUAAUACCGCAUACGUCCUGAGGGAGAAAGUGGGGGAUCUUCGGCCCUCACGCUAUCAGAUGAGCCUAGGUCGGAUUAGCUAGUUGGUGGGGUAAAGGCCUACCAAGGCGACAAUCCGUAACUGGUCUGAGAGGAUGAUCAGUCACACUGGAACUGAGACACGGUCCAGACUCCUACGGGAGGCAGCAGUGGGGAAUAUUGGACAAUGGGCGAAAGCCUGAUCCAGCCAUGCCGCGUGUGUGAAGAAGGUCUUCGGAUUGUAAAGCACUUUAAGUUGGGAGGAAGGGCAGUAAGUUAAUACCUUGCUGUUUUGACGUUACCAACAGAAUAAGCACCGGCUAACUUCGUG
Molecule: ribosomal RNA, 484 nt
Filed under: uncultured bacterium
Lineage: Bacteria
Description: partial 16S ribosomal RNA
Rfam family: Bacterial small subunit ribosomal RNA
Source: RNAcentral